Molecule: small RNA, 107 nt
Filed under: Epilithonimonas zeae
Lineage: Bacteria; Pseudomonadati; Bacteroidota; Flavobacteriia; Flavobacteriales; Weeksellaceae
Description: Chryseobacterium zeae Flavo-1 RNA
Rfam family: Flavo-1 RNA
Source: RNAcentral
UAUGCAGCCCGACUUGAGCGGAAAUCCUUUUUUUGCUUGUACAAAAUUUCUAUUUAAUAUCAAAUGGUUCUGCAAAAAAAGAUUGGGAGCGGAAGACGGAAAUAGCU